GCCUCGGUAGCUCAGCCUGGUAGAGCGGCGGUCUCGUAAACCGCAGGCCCCGGGUUCAAAGCCCGGCCGAGGCU
RNAcentral lists this transfer RNA (74 nucleotides) under Candidatus Bathyarchaeota archaeon. RNAcentral's name for it is "tRNA-Thr". It matches the Rfam family "tRNA". Rfam says of the family: Transfer RNA (tRNA) molecules are approximately 80 nucleotides in length. Lineage: Archaea; Thermoproteati; Candidatus Bathyarchaeota. The record is from RNAcentral.